RNAcentral lists this transfer RNA (68 nucleotides) under Clupeonella cultriventris (Black Sea sprat). RNAcentral's name for it is "tRNA-Phe". It matches the Rfam family "tRNA". From Rfam's summary of the family: Transfer RNA (tRNA) molecules are approximately 80 nucleotides in length. Their secondary structure includes four short double-helical elements and three loops (D, anti-codon, and T loops). The record is from RNAcentral. RNAcentral also lists the same sequence under 1 other name. Lineage: Eukaryota; Metazoa; Chordata; Actinopteri; Clupeiformes; Clupeidae.
GCUGGUGUAGCUUAACUAAAGCAUAACACUGAAGAUGUUAAGAUGGGCCCUAGGAAGCCCCACGAGCA